Molecule: long non-coding RNA, 371 nt
Organism: Capsicum annuum
Lineage: Eukaryota; Viridiplantae; Streptophyta; Magnoliopsida; Solanales; Solanaceae
Exons: 2
Source: RefSeq, a predicted model, not a curated record
AGAUGAUCAAUAUAUCCUAUAUACCAAUAACAUGAAGCCCACUAUUCUUGCAAUGACAAAAAUCGAACGAAGCAACGCUAAAAAGGUGUAUGGAAAAGAGCCAAAGUUGUAUUACUCCAUUGAAUCAAAACACAUAGUAUGACACUUGUAUAAUCUUGAAAGGAGUAUGGUUCUUUCUUGACAUUUAGUAUAAUAUGUGUAUCAAUAAUAGCAAAAGAAGCAACUUUCCUUUGAUCAAAAAUCAAGUGUACUAACACUUGUUAUAAUCUAGUAGGAAGAAUAUUCAUUAUUUUGCCUAUAUAUAUAUGUAUGCUUCUUUGUAUGUUAUGAAGUAGAGAGAAAAAACAAUAACACACACUUUGUUUAAAUCA